Molecule: ribosomal RNA, 490 nt
Filed under: uncultured bacterium
Lineage: Bacteria
Description: partial 16S ribosomal RNA
Rfam family: Bacterial small subunit ribosomal RNA
Source: RNAcentral
AUUGAACGCUGGCGGCAUGCUUUACACAUGCAAGUCGAACGGCAGCGGGGUAGUGCUUGCACUACUGCCGGCGAGUGGCGAACGGGUGAGUCAUAUAUCGGAACGUACCGAGUAAUGGGGGAUAACCAAUCGAAAGAUUGGCUAAUACCGCAUACGUCCUGAGGGAGAAAGCGGGGGAUCGCAAGACCUCGCGUUAUUCGAGCGGCCGAUAACUGAUUAGCUAGUUGGUGGGGUAAAGGCCUACCAAGGCGACGAUCAGUAGCGGGUCUGAGAGGACGAUCCGCCACACUGGGACUGAGACACGGCCCAGACUCCUACGGGAGGCAGCAGUGGGGAAUUUUGGACAAUGGGGGCAACCCUGAUCCAGCCAUGCCGCGUGUAUGAAGAAGGCCUUCGGGUUGUAAAGUACUUUUGUUAGGGAAGAAAAGGGAAGUGCUAAUACCACUUUUUGCUGACGGUACCUAAAGAAUAAGCACCGGCUAACUACGUG